This 607-nucleotide ribosomal RNA is filed under the name Sternopriscus hansardii. RNAcentral describes it as "SSU rRNA". It matches the Rfam family "Eukaryotic small subunit ribosomal RNA", at positions 32 to 601 of the family's 1831-position model. The record is from RNAcentral. Lineage: Eukaryota; Metazoa; Arthropoda; Insecta; Coleoptera; Dytiscidae.
UUGUCUCAAAGAUUAAGCCAUGCAUGUCUCAGUACGAGCCGCAUUAAGGUGAAACCGCGAAAGGCUCAUUAAAUCAGUUAUGGUUCCUUAGAUCGUACCCACAUUUACUUGGAUAACUGUGGUAAUUCUAGAGCUAAUACAUGCAAACAGAGCUCCGACCGGAGACGGAAGGAGUGCUUUUAUUAGAUCAAAACCAAUCGGCGGCGGGAGGCGCGCCUCGCGCGCACCCCCGUUCGCCGCUAUGCCUGGUGACUCUGAAUAACUUUAGGCUGAUCGCACGGUCUCGCACCGGCGACGUGUCUUUCAAAUGUCUGACUUAUCAACUGUCGAUGGUAGGUUCUGCGCCUACCAUGGUCGUAACGGGUAACGGGGAAUCAGGGUUCGAUUCCGGAGAGGGAGCCUGAGAAACGGCUACCACAUCCAAGGAAGGCAGCAGGCGCGCAAAUUACCCACUCCCGGCACGGGGAGGUAGUGACGAAAAAUAACGAUACGGGACUCAUCCGAGGCCCCGUAAUCGGAAUGAGUACACUUUAAAUCCUUUAACAAGGACCAAUUGGAGGGCAAGUCUGGUGCCAGCAGCCGCGGUAACUCCAGCUCCAAUAGCGUA